Molecule: ribosomal RNA, 292 nt
Filed under: uncultured bacterium
Lineage: Bacteria
Description: partial 16S ribosomal RNA
Rfam family: Bacterial small subunit ribosomal RNA
Source: RNAcentral
GUGCCAGCCGCCGCGGUAAAACGUAGGUGGCAAGCGUUAUCCGGAUUUACUGGGCGUAAAGCGUGUGCAGGCGGUUUAGUAAGUGGUGUAUGAAAUCUCCGCGCUUAACGUGGAGGGGUUAUGCCAGACUGCUGAACUCGAACCCAUCAGAGGGACGUGGAAUUCCGGGUGUAGUGGUGAAAUGCGUAGAGAUCCGGAGGAACACCAGAGGCGAAAGCGGCGUCCUGGGGUGAGGUUGACGCUCAGACACGAAAGCAUGGGGAGCGAACGGGAUUAGAUACCCCCGUAGUCC